Molecule: long non-coding RNA, 12211 nt
Filed under: Ananas comosus (pineapple)
Lineage: Eukaryota; Viridiplantae; Streptophyta; Magnoliopsida; Poales; Bromeliaceae
Description: long non-coding RNA (ACOM_LNC027262)
Source: RNAcentral
GGAGAAUAAUUGCGGACAGAAAAUUUAAGGGCAUAGUUUGGGGACUAUGCGGAUCAGCGCCACCUGGCCAAUCCAAUAGCCAUGGAUGAAAAAAUAAAAAAUUUUGUAUUUUUGGAAAGAGAGAAAAAGCAACUGAGAUUCGUGACUGUCGAAUCAGCCACGUUGUGCCGAUCUGUAUAGUCCCAAACUAAUUAGUUUGUAAACUAUACCUAUAAAAUUUGUCUUAUAAUUACGGGUAAAAAUUGUAUGGGCAUCCUCUCCGAAUUAAGGGAUGCAGAUGGGUGCCGCGUGGCCCGCGUGCACCCAUCUUCACCCUUCUCUCCCCUUCGCCAACUUCUCUCUCUCUCUCUCAAAAACGGAGCGUGCAAAAAAAUUAUUUUUUUUUUUUGAGUUUUCGAGGGUCGUCCGCGCGCCCAUCGGCAUCGUCCCCAAACAACUUGUUUGGGGACGAUGCCCAGAAAAUUUUUGCCCAUUAAUUACUAGGUCCCAGUUAGUCAGGGGGUAAUAAAUAUUGAGAAAACUUUUAAAUUCUUUAGGUAGUUUAUUAUUGCAAAAUAAUCGAAAACAAAAGUAAAAUUAUAUUAGUUUGUAGUACUGUUAUUUUCAAAAAUAAUUUAAAUUAUAUUUGAUUAACUAUAUAGAACAACAAAAAAGCAGUAAAAAAAUAAUAGUUAAAUUUCAUAUAAAUAUAAUUUAAUAAAAAUAUCAAAUUAAUUUUUUAUAAUAUUUAAGUAUGAUUUAUUAUAAUAUAUAAAUAUAAAUAAUAUGUUUUAGUACAGUACAAUUAAUAAUUUUAUAGAAAAAUAAUUUAAUAUAAUACAAAAAAUGUUAUAUCUGUAUAAUUUAGUUUUUAAUUCAAUCUAAUAUUAAUAAAGCUUGAAAUUAAAUUUUGAAGUAGCAUUUUUUUCACCAAAUUGUGAAAUAGAUUAUCUCAAUUAUUCUGAGAUAAUCGAGAAUGGCAAAGUUUGACCGAAAUAAAAAUAUUCCGACCAAAAAUCAUUCCAUUUGGCAAAAAAUCCGAAAUAAUUUUAGUUAUUUCCACUUGUUUUUGAACCAAAUGAGAUUUUAGAGUUUACAAAAGUACAAAUGAGUUUCAACAUAAAAAAAAAAAAGUUGGUAAGAUUAGAGAAAGAAGUAGAAUCUUUGGAUAGAUAGAUUGUACAUCUCACACCUUGGUGUGUUUGUCUUUUCGAAAGUAAAUAAAAGUAAUUUUGGUCCGUAAAUGCGCACUUUUGUUGUUUAGUUCACUAUAACUUUACUUUUCAGUUAAAAUUCAAACUUUCUAAAAUAACAUAUUGACGUCAACUCACCUGUGUGAAAAAAAUAUAAAACAAUAAUAAAUAUUAAUUCAUCUCUUAUAUUUGUGAUUUUAUGUCAAUUAUUUUUUACUAAAUAAAUCGUAGAAUCGUGAAAACUUGAGUUUCACAACUAUACGAAAUAAACUGUGAAGAAAGUUAGUUUUUACUAGUACUCUAGUUUACUUGGAAAUCUAUUUCAAUCCAAACAUUCUCUUUAAUAUGACAAACUAAUUAUAUUGCUCAAUAUAUAAUGCGAAGAUGCUGAAUAGAUCUCUCUCCUCUUAGAAUGCACAAAUUUUUUAAAUAUUUUCGUAUUAAAAAAAUAAAGACCAAGGCCUUGUUUGAUGUUGUGUUUAUUUUUUAUUUACAAUUUUUUUUAUAUAUAUAAAUAGGUAUAAGAAUGGAUAGUAAAUUGCUUACAAUUCUUUCGUUCAAAUUAUUUAUUUGAUAACAAAAAUAAAAUAUUAAAAAUAUUUUUUUGCUUUAAUUUUUUAAAAAAUUAAUUGCUUAGCAGAAUAUAUUCUAAGCUAAUCAAUGAUAAUAUAAAAAAAAUUAUUCAUCCAACACAUCAAAUUAUACAGAAUUAAUAUUUAAAUAAAAAAGAAAUGAUUCAUCCAACGGGCGUAAUUCUCUGUAAUUUCGUGCGCAAAAAUUUUUCUGCACGGAAACAAAUUUUUACCGUUCAUUAAAGGCAGGAUUAAUGGGAACGCCACGUGGACGGUGAGGAUUAAUCUGGGCCGUUGUAUUGGACUCGGAUCCUAACGAUCGAUUCGAAAGUCGAACCGAACCCGCGAAAUUCGAAAACCCGCUACCCGUUCCCUCUCCAUUUCCCGCGCGAUGUUUUAUCCUCCUCUACCUCAAACGCUCAAAACAACGGCGCCACCAACCUUCAUCGUCCCCAACAAUGGCGACCUCCUCCUCCGCCGAGGACGUCUCCUCCCUCCUCUCCCUCCUCUCCUCCUCCCCCUCCCCCUCCCCAUCCCUCCUCCGCUCCCUCCUCCGCUCCCCGCGCCUCCUCCCCCUCCUCCCCAACCUCGACCCCUCCCUCCUCCUCUCCCUCCUCGACCUCCUCGCCUCCGACCUCGCCUCCGCCGACGCCGCCCUCGCCCUAGACCUCCUCCCGCCGCUCCUCGCCCUAUCGAUCGACGCCUCGGGGGCGGCAAUCGCCCCUCCGAUCCUCGAUCGGAUCCUCGCCGCCGAUUGGUCCAAGGCGCUGCUGGUGAAGAUCGCCUCGAUCCUCCGCGACCUCCCACCGAAAAUUAGGGUUUUCGUCCCCGAAUUCGUCGAGAAGGUCUUCGCGGGAAUGAUGGGGGUCGAUCUCCAGGAUCUGCCGUCGCUUGUGUACCAGCUACUGCUUUUGGUUUCUAAGGGAAUCUGCAAAAGGAUGGUGAUUGCGGGAUUGUUGGGUUUCUUCGGGGAAACCCUAAAGGGGCUGCCUUCGAUCGUGAGGCAGGUGGAAGGCACAGUUUUGAUGCACUUCAGCUUUGCCGUGAAGCAGGACCCUUCGCUAGGGCAGGAGAUCGUCGCCACCGUUCGAUCUAAUCAAGGCGCUGUCAAUCACUUUGCCGUCGCCGUCCUGCUGUCUGCCGCGAGGGUUCGGCGGUUCAACGAGAGUGCGAUUGGAGUUCUCCGAACGGUGGUGGUAUCUUCUUACAGGGAUUAUAAGCUCUCUAGGUGUUACUUCGCAAUCAUUUUGAGAGAUUUUCUUCAUUAACUUUCUCUGUAUUUGAUCUGAUUGUUAUGGUAAAUGAGCUAAAGUGUCGAAUUUGUAGGGACUCCAAGUGGUUGCCUGAUUGCCUGAAAGAAGAAUGCCUUGAAACGGCCAAAUGUGUGGAGAAAGCCUUCAUAAAAGCUGUGAGGAGUUUUCAAUCUUAAGAAUAUUUGCACUCAAUUUGGUGGAAUUUAAGUCUAAAUUGGUAAUAUAUUUUAGAUUAAUGAGAGCAACUGUGGGAGGGAGCAUCUAGUACCUAGCAUUGUUCAGUUAUCCUUUCUUCUACUUGAGUCUGUCGACAGCGACAAUAGAGAAGAAGAUGGUGUAUCUUCAUCUGGAGGCUUGUUGGGAAUUGGGGAGCUUGGUAUUCAAAUGCUAAAGAUGCUAUUUGAGGUCCACGACAUGGCGAGAGCUGAGGUUUGAUCUUUUUUCUUUUUUUUUUUUUGGUGCAUUAGUUAUCUCAGAUAAAUGAACUAGUUAUAUUUGUAUGUUUCUCGUGGUAGGUAAUAUUUGAUUUUUUUUUUGGAUUGGCUUUUAGCUAAAUUGCUUUAUUCCUAAAUGAAAAAAUGAAUUGCAUUUGAGUUUCUUUACUUAAAGAUUUGUAUCUUUUUGCAUUUGAGUUUCUUUACUUAAAGAUUUGUAUCUUUUUCUGUCCUCGGUCUUCAGAUAAUUGAGCAGUGCAAAUUCAGGAUUCUUUCAUUGAAACCUCAGCGAAGCACGCCAGUUAUCAGGUAACACAGAAACACGAUUGCACAAACUAUAAUAUCUUUCCGACUAGUUUGUGGUAUGGUAUUGACUAAUACUCUCCAUUAUAAUUCAUUUUGAAAGGUUGCUCAGUUGUUUAGUUCAAAGCUAUCCUUACCCAAUGCUAGAUCAUGUUGCACACCUAAAGGAGUUGUUGGACUACUUCACUUUCAUGCAUGAAAAAACUGCUACUGACCUUAUCAAUGGCAUCUUGCCUCUUGUCAAAUUCAGCCAUGACUUGCAGGUAUUGGCUCCUGUAUUGUACUUUGUGCCCGAUGUCCCUAGCUAUGACAGCAGCUUCUCUACUCUGAAAAAUAGUAGAAUUGUGUUUGGCAAACAAAAAUCUGGAGCCUUUACUGUGUUGGGCGAUUAAAUAAGCUUAUGAGCCAAAAAGUAGAAGUUUCAAUUCGUAACUUUUGCUCCGGUUGCAGCUGCUUGGGGACUUCAAAUGAAAACGCUGUUAGUAUUUUUCCCAACAGCUAUACCCAAAUAGUGCUUUUGCAAAAGCUCCUGUGCCAAACAAGCCCUUUCUGUAUGAAUUCAAGCAGAUAGAAUUGCUACUGUAGUUUUAAGUUCAGUGAGCUCUGCAGGAUUACAUAAUUUUGGUUGUAAGAAAGGCCAUGUUUAAGAGAGAGGAUACUGUUCGAAUUGCUGCUGCAAAUGCUAUUGUUGAUCUGAUUGUAAUGGAAAGUAAGUUCAAGAAAAGUGGUCCCCUGCAAGAGUCAUCCAGCCAAGCAAGUUGCAGCCAGCAAGCUGAGAUAACCUUCAAGUCAGGGAGAGAGCUUUUUCAAGACCUCAGUGGAUUGCUUCGGAGGUGUCUAUCGCAGCAGGUUUGAUAUUUAGGCUAAUAACUGUCUGCCCUUUCAAACUACUACUCUUUUUCGCUUGGCCAUUUUGUAGGCAUUCUGUUCGAGGAUUUGGCAGCUUUGACGCAGUGAUUUUCCGCCUUUCCCUUUCUGCAAUUUUGGACUAAAAUAUUCUUCAGAUGACCAAAGCUGGUAAAAAUGGGAAAUUUUGCUCUGCAAAAGAUCCUAUCCCAAAGUCGCUAAAAACGAAAAAUAAUGAAUACAAACAAAAAGUGAAUCAUCUUUACAACAAUCCCUUCUCACUUUGUAACUUUAGCGUGUUCCCUGAUAGGUACCUUGCUUUGACAGGCUACUGUAAAAGAGAUCUUAUAUGAGGGGCUCAUUAAAAUUGUUCUGUACGAUCCUUUAGUCGCUAAUAGUAUCAUCAGUUUUCUGUGGCCUCAUUUCUCACCCUUCUACAAUGAGGUACUUCAUUUUUGUUCUUGUUCAUGCUUUUUUAGGCAAUUGUGUCUCUAAAAUCAUUUUUUUGACCAAUAAUAUUUGUCUUAUAAAACCAAAUAUUAGUAAAAACAGUAGAGUGCUUUUGUUUUUUGCAGGAUGCAGCGUCUCCCCUUAAAAUGGAUGGUUGUUUUAAGGUUGACAAUGACAAGAUUUGCGUUGUUGAACCUCUGGAUUCCCUCCUGUCCUGUGUAUCGUGGAUUCUUCUACUUCAGCAGCAAAGCAGAUCAGAUAAUCCAUCUAAUUUUGCUUGGCCAUGCUUCGAUUUUUCUCCUUCACAAAAUCACGAGGUUUUUUUUUUUGUGUAUUUCCUUCUUGCGCACUAACUGAAGUUAAAAGACUUAAUUCUUUCUUUUAUACUUCUUACUCAUUCCAAAUGCAGGUUGGGAGAGUAUCAUGCAGUGAAUCAUUCUCAAAAGCAUUAUCCAAGAUCCGUAAAUUCUUGAGAAAAUGCACUAGUGAAGGUGUGUAUUCCUUUCAACAUUAGUUGAGUAACAACACUCAUUGACUUACUGACUCAAGCUUAAUUAGCUUAAUUACUAUGUAAUUAAGGCCUGCAUUGCUUGACCAGAGCUUCUGAAAAAACAAUUAGGGGCUGUUUGGUUUGGUGUAAGUGAAGGCGUGGAACUCAAGCUCCAUCACUUCCGGUGUUUAUUUUGUUGUACGUUAAAAAAAAAAUAACGUAACUCAAGUUAGGUUAUACUUCCACUUCACCUACUCUUAACUUUCCUUUCUGGAGUGCCGAACUCAAGUUUUACCACACUCAACUUUCUCUAAAAAAAUUAUUAAAUAUUAAAACCUAAACUCUACUUCUUUUAGAAUGGGUUAGACUUACUUUUUUUUACAAUGGGUUAAAAUUACUUUCAAACAAUAAUGAGGGAUUUUAUUAUUUAAUAGGUUGGAUUUUAUAGGAAUAAAUUUAGUUCUAUAUUUAGGAGGUAACAUAAUCCACUUAUAUCAAAACAAACAAUAAAACUCAAAAAAUUAAUUUCACAAGCAUCAAGUUACACCAAAACAAACAGAAAAAGUGACUGAAUUCAACUUUCAAACUGUACGAGUUACACAAAAACAAACAACAAAAAAAUAAUCAUACUUCAGGAAAACUCAAACACCUCUGCAAUUUAGUUAUGUUGGAUUUAGAGAUUCGUCAAUCCAAAUGCCCCCUUAUUGUGUAGAAUUAUUCAAAGAAGCAAUGAAUUUUUCAUUAAUAUCUUCUCCAUAGUAUCCACUCCAAAAGUAAAAGCUUUAAAUUGGAUCUUUUACUUUUGGACCUAUGAAGCUCAUAUUAGCUUUCCUCUAUUGCAAAAGCACUAGACUACCUGUCUGCUUUUCCAGAAUCUUUUGCUAGAGUAGAGAAGCUUUUCCAGAAUCUUCUGCUAGAGUAAAGAAACUAUUGUAGAAGCCAAGUCAAAAAUGCACAAUAGCUUAAAUUGCUUCACAAUAUGAGUUGAUAACUUACUCGUUGAUCAGAUAAACAACUACAGAGCCAGAAUAACAGCUCGCUUGCCUCAGGAGUGGAGGUUAGACAUUGUCGUCAUCUGGCCUUGCUUGGAAUGAUUGAGGUAUUCAUUUCUAUUGCUGCUUCAGAGCUGGAGAAAGCAACGGAUGAAGCAAAAGUUGCGCUUGUAAAAGAAAUAAUGGAGCUCACUAAUUCGCACAGUUUUCUCGAAAAGGAAUCAAGUAAAAGGAAUAAGAUUGCCCAAAGAAAAGGGCCUUCAAAUGAUGUUUUGAAUAAAAGGAAUACCGAAUCCAAAGAAAAUUCACAUGUUUCAUACCACAGAUUAAAUCAAACAGGGGGGCAUUUCUUUACAACUUCAAGUCUCCAUGAACUUCUAGUCAGUGCAAUCAAUUUGUAUAGUGACUGUUACUCAAAUGAACCUACAGCAUCUCAAAAUCAUAGUCAAUCAUCUUGUUGGAAGAAAAUGGAACAGUGUUUGAUAUUAAUAUCAUUUGCACUGAGGGCUUGUCUCCACCAUUUAAAAUCUGUUGCUACAAUGAGAAGUGGACUAAGUGAUGAUUCUUUUAAGACAUUCUUCUACGGAGAUGUAAAAAAGCUCGGACGACCAAUAAUGCAGCUGGUGUGGCUGCUCAAGUCACUACCGAAGCUUGAGAAGGACUCAAAGAAGAAAGAAGCCAAAGGGAAGAGAAAUGUCGAAAGCAAAGGGACUCAACUCUUUUUAGCAUUAUUGUGUUUAAAAGAGUUAUUUAUGGUAAGUUUAUCAAAGGGCCAAAUUACAGAAGUGAUUGAGGAUCUGCUUACUCUGUCUACCUCAGAGCUGGGUGAAGAAGAUACAUUAAAUGCUGCCGAAGGUAUCAAUCGGCAGGAACAGUUGAUAGUGGAUGAUCAGGACCUAAGAAAUUUGCAUUUGUUUUUGGAUAACAAAAUGAAGCCGUUGUAUUGCCAGCUUCUUAUGUUGUCACUCCCCCGUGAAUCCGAGGUAACUCUUAUUCUCUCUUUUGUGUAAUAAGUUGAAAUGGGUCUUAUGAAUUAUAAUGUGUAAUGUUUUGAUACAAACAUAUAGGGCAGGGGCCCCUAUACCUUCUUUUCAGAAAAAAAAGUAAAGAAUAUUUUCUCCAAUCCUUCUUUCAGUGUUUGAAGUUUGAACUAAUCACUAUAGCAUCAUGAGAGUCUUUCUUGCUAUCAGCGUUAAUGGUCUAUGUUUUUUUCCUCAUAUUCAGCUCUAUGGCCUAAUUGGUGACAACCCUUAGAAUGAGACUGAAAAAAGAACAUAAUGAGUUCUGAAAACAAAACUAGAUGAACAUGCUUUUUUUUUUGUUCUUGUAUAUUUUUCGAAGCAUACAAUUAGUUAUAUCAAUUUUCCCAUUGUACGUGAAAAAUGAAAUAAAAUGUGUGAAGUUUCUCUGGUAAUUUUCUUUUUGAUCUGGCAUCCACUCAUCUAAAUGAGUUAAAGCUCUUCAUAUUUUACAGGUCCUAAGUGAAUUAAUUUCAAACAUUGGAAGAAAGCUGCCACCUAAACAAAGGAAUUCUCAUGGAAUAUGGGCUUCACGUAUCUGUCAGAACAAAGCAGUUGAAAAUCCUAGUGCUGCACGUGGUUUAGUAGCACUUGCCUUUUAUCUUCUACCAAGCCCAAAUGACAUGGUUUUUCUACAAGAAAUAUCUUCUGAGCUACGAAAAGUUAUGGGUUCUGAAGAUAAAGAACCACUAGAGACUUCUGAGACAUUUCCAAUUAUUAAUCAUUCGACAAAGAAUGCACUUUCUACUUUUCUCAUUCAGGUGUUUGAAUCUUCUCUUAUCGAAUUGGAUUGGACUUUACUGAAAAUUAAAGCAAUCCUCACCGUCAGCAAUGAAUCCACUAGCCUUGGUAAGUCGCAACAAUCCGGUGAAAGACCAAACGGGCUAGAGUUGGAGGAAGCACUUUUCACCAGGUCGGAGUUGAUCGUGCAUCUGCUUUCAUCUUUUGCGGAAAUGAACCUUACAGGUAAUUUUCUAAUUAUACAUCUUCUGAGACAGCAUCUUGCUGUUUCAUUCAUCAUCUUAGAAUAUGUUUUUAUGGUAAAAAUGCAGAUUCUCAAGCAGAACAGUUUUUGAAAAUAACCACAAAGUUUUACAAGCAUCUCGCUCGUAUGACAAAGCUUCAGAUUGCUCGAAAAGGAUACAAGCAGUCAUUACCUGGUCGUAAAUUUCAGACACUAGCAGAAGUGACUUGCACAAUGCUUACAGCUCCGCUCUAUAAUUUUGUUGCUCUUGUGCAAAGGGUAUGCUUUUGUCUUCCAUUAGUACAUUAACUUGGUGAUUUGGCCUUUCUGCAAAACAACAAAUGCACUUAUUGUGAAUCUGUGAAAGAGGGACAUGUUUCUUCUUAGCAACUUUAGCUAAAUCACCGCAUGCUUCUCAGCUAAAAGAACUACAGUGAACAUUUUUGAACUACAGUUGCCUAGUUUUGAAAUUGUGCAUUGAUCAUUCAAACUGUACAUCACAGUUCUCUAGUGGAAACUGAAGAGCAGUUUUUCCUGGAAGUUUAGAAGUAGACAAUUUUCGAAAUGGAAAAAAGCGUCACUUUUUUUGGAUUUUACUGAAAGAUCUACAAAAUUUCACUUCUAAUUUCCCUGCUAUGACUCUUCUGUUUUAUCGCAAUGCAGAACCAGCAAGAGAACGGGAGGACUAGAGGAAUCCUUAGCAAGAUCAAAAGGGAGAACAGGUGUAUCCCUGAACUGAUAUUCCACAUUGAAGACUACGAAAAAUAUCUGAUACAACUCAGCAAAAUUACAAAGAUCAACCUGCUGAGGCACGCAAAGCGCAGUAUUUCGAGGGAUUUUAGGAUACUUCAGGCAAAGAAUGUAUCUGUAGAGAAAGAACAGCAAGAAGCUGAGCUAAGCCAGGGCAGUUCUGCGUCAUCCAAGGGCAAGUCUAGUGGAGAUUCCGAAGGCCCAGACGAAGAAAACGCAUGCAAACCGGUUUUUUCGGAUGAACUGCGCGGUAGUAUUGCUGGUGAAGGUUCUGAGAAUGAGAAAGAAGAUGAAGAGGUGUCAGUGAGAAGGAAGAGAGCUAAGAAGAGCAACAUUGUUCAAGAUUCAGAUGAGGAAAGAUAAAAUGUGAAUUUAUUAUAUGCUUGUUUACAGUGUAGGGUGCUUACGCUAUAAGUUUUGAUGGCGAAAAGGAUUAGAUGGUUGUGAUUUUUGGUAAUCUCUGUAGAUCAUGACUGAACGUAUGAUUGCAAAGAAAGAAAUGCAACAAUUAGAAUUUUAUGUAUUGUUUGAAUUACAUAAUGUUACUUUGAAGUUCCUAGGGAAUGUUGGUGGAUGUUUAACCCGAAGCAGUAUCAGAGCUAAUUCUAAACUUUCACCAUUCCGUGAGGCUGUGGAUUUGGUUUCUACCUUCAAUAUUUUAUCUCAAUCUCUAAUAUCAUUUGUCAAUCUCGAGAAACUCAACUGUUGAAAGUAAUGUUUGAACUCACAACCUUAUGGGUGGGAGUUUGGAAUUAGUUUGAUAUCAUAUGAUCCAAAAAAUCAAUCUACUAAAACAAAAAGUAUUAUGUUUGAUAUGUAACAUGAAAAAUGCUUUGGGCCUCUCAAAAGGGUUCUAUAAGUAUUGGGCUUUUUUUUUUUUUGGUCUAGUACAGAUCACUUCGUAAUUUUAUUCUGUUUUAGUAGAAUAAUAUUGUUUAUCAACAGGCGGUAUAACCAAAAAAUGUGUAAAUAAAUAAGGAAAAAAUUGUUUGACUUGCUCUAUCAAAAUAUUUGUAAAUUUUUCGGCCAUCUUAAAUUAUAUUUAAUUUUCAAUUUAAGAAAUGUUUUUUUCUCUCAUAGUUAAUCAAAUAUCUGUACAUUACAUAAAAUUUUAAAAAAUAAUUUUUGAAAAUAUUAUUUUAAUAUAAAAUUACUCUAUUAUGUAAGGAUUUAAGUGCCGUGGCACGAGAUCGUGCCGGAAAGUUGCCGGCAUGGCACAACACGGUACGUGCCGAGCCAUGCCGAUGCGUGCUGGUCAAAAUUUUUUUUGUCUACCGAUACAUAAUAACAUGAAAUAUUUAUUUUUUUUAAGCAAUAAAAUAUUCUAACUAUUUAUUAUGUCUUUUUAUCACAUCUUUUGAAAUUUAUUGAAAAAAUUACUUACUAAUUUAAAGAAUGAAAGCUUUUACGCUAUGUCAUCAGCAGAGAAUCUGUAUCGUGCGGGUAUCUUAUACGCACACUGCGACAUGGUGGAUACGGCCCGGGCCGACAGACAAUUAAAAUUUUGUUCCAAGCCGUUCCCUCCGGUGACGUCACUCCCCUUUUCCUCGAGGACGGUGAGCAUUGCCUUAAAUUCACCGCAGUGAUGUACACAGCAUCACCUCCCUCUCCUCCCCUCAUACUCACCUCUCUCUCUAAAUUCGAAAUUUAGGGCUCCCUAUACCUCUCUCGCAACCUCGAACAGCGAUCACCUCUCGUCUCCUCUCCUCUUCCUAGGGUUCGCGGAGGUGUGGGGGGGGAGAGAGAGAGAGAGAGAGAGAGAGAGAGGGGUUCGUUGAAGGUGCGAUCUCGGAGGGGAGGAGGAGGGGAAUGGCGGAGGAAACCAAGCGAGGCGGAGGCGCGGUGGCGGCGAUCCUCCGGGGAUCCUCCGACGACCGGAAACCGGCGACGGCGACGGCGAUGGCUUCGGCGGCGGCGGCGCCAUUGAAGAUCACCUUGAAGAGCGCCGACAUGAAGGAGGAGAUGCGCCAGGAGGUCUUCGACUGUGCCCGCGCCGUAACGAUCCUCUCUCUCUCUCUCUCUCUCUCUCUCUCUCUCUCCGCUUUAAUCUUGGUUCUUGAUUAGGGUUUAGUUGUGUGUGUUCUAUAAUCGUGUUCUACGAUCUAUUAUAGGCGUUCGGAGUGCAUAAAGUGGAGAAGGACAUUGCGGAGUACAUCAAGAAGGAGUUCGACAAGAACCAUGGCCCAACCUGGCACUGCAUUGUCGGCAGGAACUUUGGUAUUUGCUCUUUUUCUUCUUCUAUUUGAACUCAUUUUAUAAUUUGCUAUUCGAAGAAAUGUGAAUGACUUGGAGGAAAUUAAGGUUAAGGUUCUAUUCUUGCUAGUUCAUGCCCUAGAUCUUUAGAUGCCAUGCCAUGUGAUGUCUCGAAGAAGAUUAAUUCUAGGUAGAUAGAUUGUUGCUAAGCUGGUUAGGUAUCUGUUAAUGGGCAGUAGUUAGGUACUUCACCAGUUUAAAAAAUAUUUUGCUUACCAAAAAUCUGCUGUGCUUACUUGGCACUAUGAUUGUAUGUUUUUUUUUUUGUUUUUUUUUUUUUGUUUUUUUUUUUUUUUUUUAUGAUGGCUGAUUUUUUAACUUGCCAUUUGAUUUUGUUCAUUAAAGAGUCCUGGGUUAGAAUGGGAAGUGAUUAAGGAUUCUUCAAAAAUGUCCUUCAAAGAAAGAUUAUUUAAGAAUGGUAAAUUCCAGGAAUUAUAGAAGUUUUUAAGGGAAUUGGUUAAAUAUAAAAUUGUAUCUUGACGAGGUUAUGAUGUAAGGAAUCACAUCCUGAACAAAUUGGGAUAAGAUUAGGCUUAUUUCCCAAUUCCCACAUCUAACUGAAUUCUGCUCUAUUAAACAAAAGGAAACUCUUCUUUUCUUUUCGUUCCUCUUAAGUCUUAGUUCUUUUUGCUUUUUUCUUUUCUCGGGUAGAAACUGUAGAAUGCUGUUGUAGAAACACAAGAAUUUGCAGUAGAACUUUCACUUUUCUGAAU